Molecule: transfer RNA, 71 nt
Filed under: Chitinophagaceae bacterium
Lineage: Bacteria; Pseudomonadati; Bacteroidota; Chitinophagia; Chitinophagales; Chitinophagaceae
Description: tRNA-Val
Rfam family: tRNA
About the family: Transfer RNA (tRNA) molecules are approximately 80 nucleotides in length. Their secondary structure includes four short double-helical elements and three loops (D, anti-codon, and T loops). Further hydrogen bonds mediate the characteristic L-shaped molecular structure. tRNAs have two regions of fundamental functional importance: the anti-codon, which is responsible for specific mRNA codon recognition, and the 3' end, to which the tRNAs corresponding amino acid is attached (by aminoacyl-tRNA synthetases). tRNAs cope with the degeneracy of the genetic code in two manners: having more than one tRNA (with a specific anti-codon) for a particular amino acid; and 'wobble' base-pairing, i.e. permitting non-standard base-pairing at the 3rd anti-codon position.
Source: RNAcentral
GCGGCAAUAGCUUAAAGGCAUAGCGCUCGGCUUACCAGCUGGGAGAUGGCGUUCGAUUCGACCUUGCCGCU